GAUGAACGCUAGCGGGAGGCCUAACACAUGCAAGCCGAGCGGUAUUUGUUCUUCGGAACAGAGAGAGCGGCGCACGGGUGCGGAACACGUGUGCAACCUGCCUUUAUCUGGGGGAUAGCCUUUCGAAAGGAAGAUUAAUACCCCAUAAUAUAUUGAGUGGCAUCACUUGAUAUUGAAAACUCCGGUGGAUAGAGAUGGGCACGCGCAAGAUUAGAUAGUUGGUGAGGUAACGGCUCACCAAGUCAAUGAUCUUUAGGGGGCCUGAGAGGGUGAUCCCCCACACUGGUACUGAGACACGGACCAGACUCCUACGGGAGGCAGCAGUGAGGAAUAUUGAACAAUGGGUCAGCGCCUGAUCCAGCCAUCCCGCGUGAAGGACGACGGCCCUAUGGGUUGUAAACUUCUUUUGUAUAGGGAUAAACCUACUCUCGUGAGAGUAGCUGAAGGUACUAUACGAAUAAGCACCGGCUAACUCCGUG
This 479-nucleotide ribosomal RNA is filed under the name uncultured bacterium. RNAcentral's name for it is "partial 16S ribosomal RNA". It matches the Rfam family "Bacterial small subunit ribosomal RNA", at positions 28 to 507 of the family's 1533-position model. The record is from RNAcentral.